This 429-nucleotide ribosomal RNA is filed under the name Chloroflexota bacterium. RNAcentral describes it as "Chloroflexi bacterium partial 16S ribosomal RNA". It matches the Rfam family "Bacterial small subunit ribosomal RNA", at positions 355 to 776 of the family's 1533-position model. The record is from RNAcentral. Lineage: Bacteria; Bacillati; Chloroflexota.
UGGGGAAUAUUGCACAAUGGGCGCAAGCCUGAUGCAGCCAUGCCGCGUGUGUGAAGAAGGCCUUCGGGUUGUAAAGCACUUUCAGCGGGGAGGAAGGCGAUAAGGUUAAUAACCUUGUCGAUUGACGUUACCCGCAGAAGAAGCACCGGCUAACUCCGUGCCAGCAGCCGCGGUAAUACGGAGGGUGCAAGCGUUAAUCGGAAUUACUGGGCGUAAAGCGCACGCAGGCGGUCUGUCAAGUCGGAUGUGAAAUCCCCGGGCUCAACCUGGGAACUGCAUUCGAAACUGGCAGGCUAGAGUCUUGUAGAGGGGGGUAGAAUUCCAGGUGUAGCGGUGAAAUGCGUGGAGAUCUGGGGGAAUACCGGUGGCGAAGGCGGCCCCCUGGACAAAGACUGACGCUCAGGUGCGAAAGCGUGGGGAGCAAACAGG